This 253-nucleotide ribosomal RNA is filed under the name uncultured bacterium. RNAcentral's name for it is "partial 16S ribosomal RNA". It matches the Rfam family "Bacterial small subunit ribosomal RNA", at positions 524 to 776 of the family's 1533-position model. The record is from RNAcentral.
UACGUAGGGGGCAAGCGUUGUCCGGAUUUAUUGGGCGUAAAGAGCGUGUAGGCGGUUAGGUAGGUCCGUUGUGAAAACUCGAGGCUCAACCUCGAGACGCCGAUGGAAACCCCCUAACUAGAGUCCGGAAGAGGAGAGUGGAAUUCCUGGUGUAGCGGUGGAAUGCGUAGAGAUCGGGAAGAACAUCAGUGGCGAAGGCGGCCUGCUGGGCUGUUGCUGACGCUGAGGCGCGACAGCGUGGGGAGCAAACAGG